GACGUAGGGCGCGAGCGUUGUCCGGAUUUAUUGGGCGUAAAGAGCUCGUAGGCGGCUUGUCGCGUCGUGUGUGAAAUCUCAGGGCUCAACUCUGACAUUGCAUACGAUACGGGCAGGCUUGAGUUCGGUAGGGGAGACUGGAAUUCCUGGUGUAGCGGUGAAAUGCGCAGAUAUCAGGAGGAACACCGGUGGCGAAGGCGGGUCUCUGGGCCGGAUACUGACGCUGAGGAGCGAAGCGUGGGGAGCAAACAGG
Molecule: ribosomal RNA, 253 nt
Filed under: uncultured bacterium
Lineage: Bacteria
Description: partial 16S ribosomal RNA
Rfam family: Bacterial small subunit ribosomal RNA
Source: RNAcentral